GGGCAAUUGGCUUAGGUGGUAUAGCGCCCGCUUAGCAUAUUCGCUAUACUGCCUGCGGGAGGUCCAGGGUUCGAGUCCCUGAUUGUCCA
The sequence is a transfer RNA, 89 nucleotides long. It matches the Rfam family "tRNA". From Rfam's summary of the family: Transfer RNA (tRNA) molecules are approximately 80 nucleotides in length. The record is from Rfam.